This 1416-nucleotide ribosomal RNA is filed under the name uncultured soil bacterium. RNAcentral describes it as "partial 16S ribosomal RNA". It matches the Rfam family "Bacterial small subunit ribosomal RNA". The record is from RNAcentral.
AGGGGGGUUGCCUAGGAAAUGCAAGUCGAACGAUUAAAGCUCCCUUCGGGGAGUGCAUAAAGUGGCGCACGGGUGAGUAACACGUAAGUAAUCUACCCUCGGGUGGGGAAUAACGUCCGGAAACGGACGCUAAUACCGCAUAAUGCAGCGGCACCGCAAGGUGACAGUUGUUAAAGGAGCAAUCCGCCUGGGGAGGAGCUUGCGGCAGAUUAGCUUGUUGGUAAGGUAACGGCUUACCAAGGCUACGAUCUGUAUCCGGUCUAAGAGGACGGUCGGACACACUGACACUGAAUAACGGGUCAGACUCCUACGGGAGGCAGCAGUCGGGAAUUUUGGGCAAUGGGGGAAACCCUGACCCAGCAACGCCGCGUGAAGGAUGAAGUAUUUCGGUAUGUAAACUUCGAAAGAAUGGGAAGAAUUAAUGACGGUACCAUUUAUAAGCUCCGGCUAACUACGUGCCAGCAGCCGCGGUAAUACGUAGGGAGCAAGCGUUGUUCGGAUUUACUGGGCGUAAAGCGUCCGCAGGUGGUUAGCCAAGUCAGCGGUUAAAGCGUGGAGCUUAAUCUCUCAUAAGGGCCGUUGAAACUGGUUAGCUAGAGCGCCUUUUUGGCCAGGGAAGGAUUCCCCUGGGGGGGGAAAAAUUAUUAUUUUUAAAACCCCCGGGGGGAAAAAAACCCUUCUCGGUUUUUCUUUCCCCUCUGGCCCAAGUAGGCUAAGGGGGAAGAAAAAAUAUUCCCUUAGUUUAUCCCUAAACAAAAAAUAAUAAAAAAUUUUCGAUUGUUUGCCAACCCCGGGCAUCAGACUACGCGUUAAGUACCCCGCCUGGGGAGUACGCUCGCAAGAGUGAAACUCAAAGGAAUUGACGGGGGCCCGCACAAGCGGUGGAGUAUGUGGUUUAAUUCGAUGCAACGCGAAGAACCUUACCAGGGCUUGACAUGUCGCGAAUCUCUGUGAAAGCGGAGAGUGCCUUCGGGAGCGCGAACACAGGUGGUGCAUGGCUGUCUCAAGCUCGUGCCGUGAGGUGUCAGGUUAAGUCCUAUAACGAGCGCAACCCCUGUUGUUAGUUGCCAGCGAGUAAUGUCGGGAACUCUAACAAGACUGCCGGUGCAAACCGUGAGGAAGGUGGGGAUGACGUCAAAUCAUCACGGCCCUUACGGCCAGGGCUACACACGUGCUACAAUGGCGCGCACAGAGGGCUGCAAACCCGCGAGGGGGAGCCAAUCUCACAAAACGCGUCGUAGUCCGGAUCGCAGUCUGCAACUCGACUGCGUGAAGUCGGAAUCGCUAGUAAUCGCGCAUCAGCAUGGCGCGGUGAAUACGUUCCCGGGCCUUGUACACACCGCCCGUCACACCAUGGGAGUUGGUUCUACCCGAAGCCGGUCCGCCAACCGCAAGGAAGGCAGCCCCACCCCACCC